UACGUAGGGGGCAAGCGUUGUCCGGAAUCAUUGGGCGUAAAGAGCGUGUAGGCGGCCCGGUAAGUCCGCCGUGAAAGUCCAGGGCUCAACCCUGGAAUGCCGGUGGAAACUGCCGGGCUGGAGUCCGGAAGAGGCGAGUGGAAUUCCUGGUGUAGCGGUGAAAUGCGCAGAUAUCAGGAGGAACACCGAUGGCGAAGGCAGCUCGCUGGGACGGUACUGACGCUGAGACGCGAAAGCGUGGGGAGCAAACAGG
RNAcentral lists this ribosomal RNA (253 nucleotides) under uncultured bacterium. RNAcentral describes it as "partial 16S ribosomal RNA". It matches the Rfam family "Bacterial small subunit ribosomal RNA", at positions 524 to 776 of the family's 1533-position model. The record is from RNAcentral.